CAGGAAGGCUUCUUGGAAGAGGUGACAUGAGUUGAGAUUUCCAAGUGGUGAGCUAUUCAGGAGCUAGUGUGCUGUGGGUCACCAACGGUGAGGAUGCAGCUGUUGUCCUGGAGCCUCUGACUUCCAUCCAAAGGACCCCACGUGCCUUCUGGCCAGCUUCGUGCAGACACACGCUGAGUACAGUGGUCAGCCUGGUGCAAGGCCCCAGAGGAGCAAGUGUGUCCAGGAGGAGACAAGACCAGUGCACAGUGGCGCCUCUUGGCUGAAUGUAUUUAUUCCUGUGACUCAGGCUGCAGUGUUCCUGGCUUGGAAAGAGCCAGGAACUCAGUGAUGAGCUUGCUGCUUCACAUGCUGGGCAUGGGCGGCCUCCAGGCUUGGACUUCCCUUGCAAGAGCAGGGCCUUCUGCCCCUGCCCACCUGGUUGCCAGUGUGGGUGGCUGUGACUAGCCAUGGAUCUUCCCUCUGGGGAUGGCUGUCUCAGCUGCUGGGCUCCAGCUGUCUGCAGGCUUGAUAAAUACCAAAUUGCACGUGUGGGGUUCUUCUUCCCAAGCCCUUGGGCAUGGGGUCUCUGUGCACUUAAGAGCUGGGGACCCACCUGCAUCUCACCCCAUUCCUCCCAGAGCAUGGGUCCCCCUGGGUGGCCGGCCCCUGCCUGCAAAGCCACCUUGUCCAGGAGAUGCUGCUAUGAAUUGCCAGUACUGUGAGGAGGAGGUGAAGGGUAGACCUUGAAAACAGCGCAACGUUAAGAGGAGAAACUGGCACUGCUGUUUGUAAGAGUGCAUUCCUUCCCCUUUCUGUCACUUUAUAGACCAAAAAGAAAAAUGAAAGAAAAAAA
Molecule: long non-coding RNA, 835 nt
Organism: Heterocephalus glaber (naked mole-rat)
Lineage: Eukaryota; Metazoa; Chordata; Mammalia; Rodentia; Bathyergidae
Source: Ensembl